This 253-nucleotide ribosomal RNA is filed under the name uncultured bacterium. Its description in RNAcentral is "partial 16S ribosomal RNA". It matches the Rfam family "Bacterial small subunit ribosomal RNA", at positions 524 to 776 of the family's 1533-position model. The record is from RNAcentral.
UACAGAGAGUGCAAGCGUUGUUCGGAAUUACUGGGCUUGAAGCGCACGUAGGCGGCGUUGUAAGUGUCGGGUGAAAUCCCACGGCUCACCCGUGGAACUGCCCGGCAUACUGCGAUGCUAGAGUGUGGUAGGGGAGAGCGGAACUCCUGGUGGAGCGGUGAAAUGCGUAGAUAUCAGGAGGAACACCGGUGGCGAAGGCGGCUCUCUGGUCCACAACUGACGCUGAGGUGCGAAAGCUAGGGGAGCAAACGGG